Molecule: ribosomal RNA, 206 nt
Filed under: uncultured eukaryote
Lineage: Eukaryota
Description: partial 18S ribosomal RNA
Rfam family: Eukaryotic small subunit ribosomal RNA
Source: RNAcentral
UGGUGGAGUGAUUUGUCUGGUUAAUUCCGUUAACGAACGAGACCUCAGCCUGCUAAAUAGUGGCUAGAGUCAUCUGUAUGGGUGAAAGGGUCAACGGCGUAGGGGUUUCGGCCCUCUGCUCGAUGGCCUGGGAUCCCUGAUGGUCUGAAGUACGCUUCUUAGAGGGACUACUUGCGUUUAGCAAGGGGAAGUUUGAGGCAAUAACA